RNAcentral lists this ribosomal RNA (432 nucleotides) under uncultured bacterium. Its description in RNAcentral is "partial 16S ribosomal RNA". It matches the Rfam family "Bacterial small subunit ribosomal RNA", at positions 29 to 506 of the family's 1533-position model. The record is from RNAcentral.
AGCGAACGCUGGCGGCAGGCCUAACACAUGCAAGUCGAACGGACCCUUCGGGGUUAGUGGCGGACGGGUGAGUAACACGUGGGAACGUGCCUUUAGGUUCGGAAUAGCUCCUGGAAACGGGUGGUAAUGCCGAAUGUGCCCUUCGGGGGAAAGAUUUAUCGCCUUUAGAGCGGCCCGCGUCUGAUUAGCUAGUUGGUGAGGUAACGGCUCACCAAGGCGACGAUCAGCAGCUGGUCUGAGAGGAUGACCAGCCACACUGGGACUGAGACACGGCCCAGACUCCUACGGGAGGCAGCAGUGGGGAAUCUUGCGCAAUGGGCGAAAGCCUGACGCAGCCAUGCCGCGUGAAUGAUGAAGGUCUUAGGAUUGUAAAAUUCUUUCACCGGGGACGAUAAUGACGGUACCCGGAGAAGAAGCCCCGGCUAACUUCGU